This 484-nucleotide ribosomal RNA is filed under the name uncultured bacterium. RNAcentral's name for it is "bacterial SSU rRNA". It matches the Rfam family "Bacterial small subunit ribosomal RNA", at positions 28 to 496 of the family's 1533-position model. The record is from RNAcentral.
GAUGAACGCUAGCGGCAGGCUUAAUACAUGCAAGUCGAGGGGCAUCAAGGUACACGAAAGUGUAUUGUUGGCGACCGGCGGACGGGUGAGUAAUAGGUAGGUAACCUACCUCAUACUGAGGCAUAGCUGGGAGAAAUUCCAGGUAAUUCCUCAUGAGGUUAUAUGACACAUGUGAUAUAAUCAAAGGUAUCGCAAGGUACUGGUAUGAGAUGGGCUUACUGACCAUUAGCUAGUUGGUGAGAUAAGAGCUCACCAAGGCGAAGAUGGUUAGGGGUUUGAGAGAGAGAUCCCCCACAUUGGAACUGAGAUACGGUCCAGACUCCUACGGGAGGCAGCAGUAGGGAAUAUUGGGCAAUGGGCGGAAGCCUGACCCAGCCAUGCCGCGUGAAGGAAGACGGCCUUAUGGGUUGUAAACUUCUUUACUAUGCGACUAACUAGAUUUACGAGAUAAUUCUAUAGAAUGUAGCAUAGCAAAAAGCACGGA